AUAGCAGGCUCCUUUCUUCUCGGGGCUUCUAAUCUAGAUGAGAAGAUAGCGUCCACACACAGAAGGCGGUAUGCAAACCGGUCAUUGUGAACCGAGCGAUUAUAAGGGCAGAGAUUGUUGAGGGAAGAGUGGGGUGUGCACAGUUUUGCUUAAGUCUGAACUGAGGAGCCGUCUUGAUCUCUCUCUUCUGCAGGCUGAGGAGGA
This is a non-coding RNA of Microcebus murinus (gray mouse lemur), 204 nucleotides long. The record is from RefSeq and is a predicted model, not a curated record. NCBI's taxonomy places the organism in Eukaryota, Metazoa, Chordata, Mammalia, Primates, Cheirogaleidae.